RNAcentral lists this ribosomal RNA (425 nucleotides) under uncultured Burkholderiales bacterium. RNAcentral describes it as "bacterial SSU rRNA". It matches the Rfam family "Bacterial small subunit ribosomal RNA", at positions 356 to 774 of the family's 1533-position model. The record is from RNAcentral. Lineage: Bacteria; Pseudomonadati; Pseudomonadota; Betaproteobacteria; Burkholderiales.
GGGGAAUUUUGGACAAUGGGGGCAACCCUGAUCCAGCCAUGCCGCGUGAGUGAAGAAGGCCUUCGGGUUGUAAAGCUCUUUCGGACGGAAAGAAAUCGCCGCCUCUAACAUAGGCGGUGGAUGACGGUACCGUAAGAAGAAGCACCGGCUAACUACGUGCCAGCAGCCGCGGUAAUACGUAGGGUGCGAGCGUUAAUCGGAAUUACUGGGCGUAAAGCGUGCGCAGGCGGUUGUGCAAGACCGAUGUGAAAUCCCCGAGCUUAACUUGGGAAUUGCAUUGGUGACUGCACGGCUAGAGUGUGUCAGAGGGGGGUAGAAUUCCACGUGUAGCAGUGAAAUGCGUAGAGAUGUGGAGGAAUACCGAUGGCGAAGGCAGCCCCUGGGAUAACACUGACGCUCAUGCACGAAAGCGUGGGGAGCAAACA